GCGUGCGCAGUUCGCGUAGCAAUACGUGGAUGGGCGCACGGCGCACGGGUGCGUAACACGUGGGCAAUCUGCCCUCCGAUGGGGAAUAACCCCGCGAAAGCGGGGCUAAUACCGCAUAACAUUCCUUUGGCUACGGCCGAGGGAUUCAAAGCAGCAAUGCGUCGGAGGAGGAGCCCGCGCCCGAUUAGUUAGUUGGUGAGGUAACGGCUCACCAAGACAAUGAUCGGUAGCUGGUCUGAGAGGAUGGCCAGCCACACUGGAACUGAGACACGGUCCAGACUCCUACGGGAGGCAGCAGUGGGGAAUCUUGCGCAAUGGGCGAAAGCCUGACGCAGCGACGCCGCGUGGGGGAUGAAGGCCUUAGGGUUGCAAAGCUCUUUCGCCCGCGACGAUGAUGACGGUAGCGGGAGAAGAAGCCCCGGCUAACUUCGUG
Molecule: ribosomal RNA, 433 nt
Filed under: uncultured bacterium
Lineage: Bacteria
Description: bacterial SSU rRNA
Rfam family: Bacterial small subunit ribosomal RNA
Source: RNAcentral